RNAcentral lists this non-coding RNA (30 nucleotides) under Rattus norvegicus (Norway rat). Lineage: Eukaryota; Metazoa; Chordata; Mammalia; Rodentia; Muridae. The record is from RNAcentral.
AUGCUUGAGAAUCUUGUUGCUUUCCCAGUU